UCCACUGUUUUCACUCAAACUGAAAUUCCAAAUCAACAAGGACUGAAAUCUCAAGACUUGCCACUUUAAAGUAUAGCUACAGUAUUUCUAUGUUCUGGUCUCCAGUCCAGUAGUCGGCGGAAAUACACCUAUAGGAUGGUUGGCCAGCCACCGUUACAACCCAAAGAAAAAGAAGAGCAAGUCACCCAAUGACUAAGGACAUUACUGACUGUAAACCAUCCGUCAACCAAUCAGAAGAGGCGUUGGUGCUGAUAUGACUUUAGCGGGUACACUUUCGACAAAGAGGUUUCGGCCAACACUCGAUAGCAUAGCGAAGUUUACAAGCAUCGUUUGGUAGACAGAAAGUCUGUGCGAUUGAAAGUACGGGCUCAAACGGUACCGCGGAUUUGUUUGUCUAGUAAAUUAUGUCAUAAAAAACAACAUGCGGGCUUUUCUUACGUCUCGUUAUUUUCUUACUUCGCUUACUUUUCGGUCACAAUGCUAACUAGCCAGCUCAUGCUAACGUCAGCUAAGUAGAACAUAAUUUUGAUGUUGCAUCGUGGUGGAACAUUACCCUCUCUUUUCGUCACGUUAAACAGCUGAUAAACAAGAGCAGAAAGCACCAUCAUUUUUGGAUGGCAGUUGCCCCUUCCUGGAUGGCGGAUAAGAUCAUAGUCCUUGACGAUGACGACGAAGAGGAGAGUCCUCAACCCUCCUUUGCUGCCUCCACCUCCGCCUCGUCCUCUAAGAGUCAAGCCAAACGUGUCUCAGCGAUCAAAGCUCCGCAGCCCGCCCCUACCCACAUUACCCAGUCCCCUUUUGCCUCCGCGAAGAAGCAGACUCAUGUUCUACAGGCAGAGAAUCAAAAGUUGUUCGCUGAGUUUGUGGAACACUGCUCAGCUCUCACCCAGACGUGCCCCGAGGUCUUGACCUUCCUCCAAACCAAACACGACAAGGCCUCCCCUGACUAUCUGACGUCCGUGGAGUUCAGGAACACCUUGGGCCGAUGUUUGACUCGCGCCCAAGCCAACCAUUCCAAAACCUUUGUCUACAUCAGUGAACUGUGCACUGCACUCAAGCAGCAUGCAGCCAAGCGGAGGCUGACCCUCACCAAGGUUAACCCCGGGCCCUCUACCUCAUCGUCAAGUUCUGUCUCUGCUACGCUCAAAAGGAAAGACGAGGCUGAAGUUAAGAGGGUUGAGGAAGAGGAAGGAGUGAAUAGGACAGCGGAGGAUAAGCCAUCUACCUCAGGGCUGCAGGAUGGCAAUAAUGAGGAGGCAGAGAAAAAGGCCAAGAGGGCAUCUAGGAAACAGAUAGCGUACCUGGAGAACCUACUGAAGGUGUACAAUGACGAGAUCUGCCGCCUGCAGCAGGCUGAGCUGAGUUUAGACGACCUGGGAACGGAGGACUCCCUAUACAUCCAGGAACACAAGCUCAAACGCAAGAUGAUGAAGAUUUAUGAAAAGCUGUGUGAACUAAAGAACUGCAGCACGCUAACGGGCCGAGUCAUUGAGCAGAAGAUCCACUACAGCGGCACUCGCUAUCCUGAGAUCAACAGGAAGAUUGAGCGUUUCAUCAACAGUCCUGAGGCCCUGAGGAACCCUCCAGAUUACCCAGACAUCCUCCAGCAGGUGCUGCGUGCCAAUGAGCGCCACAAUCUGUCCCUGAGCCGAAAACAGCUGAACCAGUACGCCCAGGAGGCUUUCAGGGAGACCGGGAGCAAAAUCCAGGAGAGACGUCACCUGGACCUGGUGUACAACUUCGGCUCGCGCCUCACUGACCCCUACAAGCCUGCCACGGACCCGGCUCUGGCGGACCCUUCGCUGCUGCGGAAGCUUCGGGCGAACCGAGAAGUGGCUCUGUCCCGCCUGGAAGAGGUCAUCACUAAGUUUGCCGUCAAACAAGAUGACACGGAGGAGCACGAACGGGCCAAACGACUGGAGAAAGACGGCAAGGAGAAAGAGGCCCACAAAUCAGAGAACGGAGAAGUAAAAAAAGAUGUGAACGGCGUGGCGGCGGAGGUGGAGGACGAAGAAGAAGAGGAGGAUGACGAUGAAGAAGAUGAAUCAUCAGACCCAGACAUCGAGGAAGAAAUCCAGGCCAGCACGCAGCAGGAUGGACCAGACGAUGAUGAGAACGAUGAAGACGACAGCAACGAGGCGGAACCAGCAUGCGACGGCACCAACAAGGAGGAUCCCACGGAUCAGCAGACGAGAAGCGUUUCUCCAGGGGAGGAAGGAAGCGGCAAAGACGAGGACGAGGAGCCAGUCACAAGUGGACUCAGUCCUCUUUCUGAUGACAGCGAGUCUCUAAUCCCCCCGCUGUCGGCCCUCCCCUCCCCUAGACAGAGCCCCAGCCAAUCGGAGCCAGCGCAGACAGACACCCAGACGCCGUUGUCUAAUGGUAAACCUGCAGGAUCGGAGGAGCCCGUGGAUUCCUCCAAUCACGUUCCGGUCAUGCUGGUGAGCAACAGCAGCGUCGCUAAGGACUCUGCCGCCGCUGUCGUCUCUGCCCCAGCGGCCAAUGGAGUGUCUCCGCCCCUGUCGCCAGCAGUCGUGGUAGAAAACUGUGACACACAAACCACCAAUGGAACGCGCCGCCGCCGCCGCCCAGCCCCAAGGCCACAAGGGGCACGAAGAGGAAGAGGGGGGAAGUAACGCCAGGGAACUCCCAAAAGCACAUGCUCAUCCAUGACAGUGAGGUAGAUAUCCCUCUGGAAAUGGGUGUUUUCAGCUGCAAUUCUCCGCAGCAUGCAGAGUCGACUCGAGCAGACACGCCAACCCAGGAAAUGGUCAGCAGCUCCCAGUCGACCCCGCCUCCAAAGAAAAACAAGGUCAACGUGGCCACCCAGUGUGACCCUGAUGAGAUCAUCAUCCUGUCGGACUCAGAAUAACCUUUUUACCUCUGACCUCUCACUGAACUCCGAGACUCUUCCACAUCCGGUUUCCUGAGAGGAUGCAUUUCUAAGGACCGUAAGAAGAGUGAAAAAAAGCAUCCAUACUUUUUUUUUUUUUUUUUCUUCCCAAACAACAAUUGUGAAAUUUCUGUUAUAAACAUGAUCUUAACAGUAAAUGAUUUUUGACAAAAUACAAUGCUGUUCUUGGCUGUGGAAGUCAGGGACAACAAUUAAUUAUGUACCUCGUGUCACUUGAUUCCAUAUUACCAUAUCUUUUGAGGAAAUUCAAGGAGUCUUCUUCUUCUGCUGUGUUCCUUAGAGAACACUGCAGUCCUUUCAGUCUGACCAGAGAAACGUUGGCUGAUGUUGACCUCGGAAGGCUCGCUCUUUUUGCGGUAGAGAUGACUAAUUGGACGAUCCAAGCAGGCAAACGCUCCGUCACCGCGUUUUCCUGCCGUCAGUGCAACGUUUCAGUCGGUCGUAGCGUUGAAAUGUUUUUUUUUUUUUUUUUUUUUUUUUUUUUGUGCUUCUCCGAACGCAGAGCUAAAAACACUUAUCUUGGGGCGAUUGUCCCUCAACUUGAACGUGUGUUAGUGUGAUUUUAGGUAAGAACCCAGUGCCUGAGAACAAGAACAUGUACUGUGCAGCCGGACGCGUGGCCCAGAAGGGGGAGGGGAGAGUUUUGUUUUCACAGACACUCGACUGGCAAGGGCUUCGUUAGCUCACUGCCAGUUUGUUUACAUUUCUGUAUUAUAGAUGCAUUUCUUUUCAUAAAGGAAAGAGUGGAGGUAGUGGUUUGUGUAAAGGUAUCUUGAGAGGACUUUGUUUUACCCGCUAUUUAUGAUGCGUUGACGCUGAGCUGUGCGGUGGUUUGUACUCCACUGUCAGCGAAACGUGUGGACCGCAGCAGUGACAUUGGAGCCUGACGUUUUUUAAUGUUUUCUUUUUUUUUAUGUUUCCCCUCCAAAAAACGUAUUUCUAUUUUCAGGUUUCUAAUAAUAAAGUAUGUUUCUAUUUUUUAUUCAGACUUUUGUCUGCUGCAGGAUAGCUGGAUAGUUUCCAGAUAGCUUAAAAAAAAAAAAAGAGAGAGAGAGAGAACGGAAGUUAGGAUUGAAGUAGCUUGUUUAAUGCAUCUCAAACAGAGUUGUGUCCCAAUGGCGCUGACCUCUGCCUCUGCCCGGCUACAAGAACUACUUUUAUUUACCCCCCAGUUUAAGCCCAGCCCAAAUCCCAACUCCCCACAGGAAUUAUUUGUAUAAAUCCAAACAAAAGUCAAAACCAUCAAUGCCAUUUUCUUUGUUUUAACCAAACCUGGCCCAGUUAAGGAUCCUAAACACCCGAGAGUAAUAACUAGAAGGAAAUGUUAGUCUGACCUGCAAUUAAUCACUUUCAUACAAAAUAUGUUCCUGAGUUGUUGGGGCAGCUAUUAAAUUUCUGUCCCCUCCUGUCGAUACACCUCAUGUUAAGAUAAAUUUGGCAUUAGUUAUAGUUUCUACAUUAAGAAUAAAGUUUAUUUAUUCCUAGUUAUUAAAUAUAGUGUUGCACUUAAGAUCUCUAGCAUUUGAGAGUUUUUUUUUGUGUGUGUGACCGACCAGUGUCUAAUGCGUCCUUUUAUUAUAACUAGUUGUCUGGCUGGUCCCUCUGUAAUUGAGCACUGUUACAGAAGUCUUUUGUCGAAGGGUAAUUUCUCAACUUUCAUCCUGUCUUACCUUUUUUUUUCCUCCAGAAUCCCAUUUUUAUUAAUUGUACCACAGGUUAAAAUUAUAUUUUGGGGGUAAAAAGCCUUUUCAAUUUCACGAAAAUGUAGGCUAGUCUUGGAAUGUAGCUAUGAUCUAUCGGGCCUCAUAUAUGCAGAGGAGUGAUCCAUCAUUCACUGUGAAAUUUUUCUUCUUAAUUUUUGAUAAAUAAAAGAUAUGUUUUUAUACA
Molecule: RNA transcript, 4801 nt
Organism: Perca flavescens (yellow perch)
Lineage: Eukaryota; Metazoa; Chordata; Actinopteri; Perciformes; Percidae
Gene: daxx
Gene name: death-domain associated protein
Exons: 11
Source: RefSeq, a predicted model, not a curated record